This 254-nucleotide ribosomal RNA is filed under the name uncultured bacterium. RNAcentral describes it as "partial 16S ribosomal RNA". It matches the Rfam family "Bacterial small subunit ribosomal RNA", at positions 524 to 776 of the family's 1533-position model. The record is from RNAcentral.
CACGUAGGGGACGAGCGUUGUCCGGAUUCAUUGGGCGUAAAGGGCGCGUAGGCGGUCGUGACAAGUCACUUGUGAAAUCUCCGGGCUUAACUCGGAACGGUCAAGUGAUACUGUCGGACUAGAGUACAGAAGGGGCAACUGGAAUUCUCGGUGUAGCGGUGAAAUGCGUAGAUAUCGAGAGGAACACCUGCGGCGAAGGCGGGUUGCUGGGCUGAUACUGACGCUGAGGCGCGAAAGCCAGGGGAGCGAACGGG